This 98-nucleotide small RNA is filed under the name Marmota monax (woodchuck). Lineage: Eukaryota; Metazoa; Chordata; Mammalia; Rodentia; Sciuridae. The record is from RNAcentral.
GCUGGGCAUGGUAGCACGUGCCUGUAAUCCCAGAAACUCAGGAGGCUGAGGCAGGAGGAUCACAGUUUGAGGCCAGGCUCACCAAGACCCUGUCUCAA